AAAUUCACUAACGAUGCCAACCAGCGAUUAGCCUGAGUUCCUUAAAUGACUCGGCUAGCAGCUUCCGGGAAACCAAAGUGUUUCGGUUCCGGGGGAAGUAUGGUUGCAAAGCUGAAACUUAAAGGAAUUGACGGAAGGGCACCACCAGGAGUGGAGCCUGCGGCUUAAUUUGACUCAACACGGGAAAACUUACCCGGCCCGGACACUGGAAGGAUUGACAGAUUGAGAGCUCUUUCUUGAUUCAGUGGGUGGUGGUGCAUGGCCGUUCUUAGUUGGUGGAGCGAUUUGUCUGGUUAAUUCCGAUAACGAACGAGACUCUAGCCUACUAAAUAGACUGUUCAGCUUUAUAGCCGGAAUCACCGGGCACGUAGCUCUCGGGUUGCGUGUUCGGCUCUGGUGACGUUGGCAGUGCUUCUUAGAGGGACAGGCGGCGGUUCAGCCGCACGAAACAGAGCAAUAACAGGUCUGUGAUGCCCUUAGAUGUCCGGGGCUGCACGCGCGCUACACUGAAGUGAUCAGCGUGCAAUUUACGUUUGGUGAUCUGUCAAGAUUGCCCAACCCGUUGAACCUUCUUCGUGAUUGGGAUAGGGGAUUGUAAUUAUUCCCCUUGAACGAGGAAUUCCCAGUAAGCGCAAGUCAUAAGCUUGCGUUGAUUACGUCCCUGCCCUUUGUACACACCGCCCGUCGCUACUACUGAUUGAAUGAAUUAGUGAGGUCUUCGGACUGGCCUGUGCUGGCUGUUUCGGCAGCUGCACAUGGCUCGGGGAGAUGCCCAAACUUGUUCAUCUAGAGAGUAAAGUCGUACAGUUUUCGUAGGUGACUGCGAGAUCAGGCGAUCGCGCGCUAAAUCAUCGCUAUAGUGAUCGAUCUCUAGGGGGCGGGUUUUUAUAUAUAUAAAAUCG
RNAcentral lists this ribosomal RNA (902 nucleotides) under uncultured eukaryote. Its description in RNAcentral is "partial 18S ribosomal RNA". It matches the Rfam family "Eukaryotic small subunit ribosomal RNA", at positions 1026 to 1831 of the family's 1831-position model. The record is from RNAcentral.